GGGACACGUGGUAUCCUGUCUGAAUAUGGGGGGACCAUCCUCCAAGGCUAAAUACUCCUGACUGACCGAUAGUGAACCAGUACCGUGAGGGAAAGGCGAAAAGAACCCCGGCGAGGGGAGUGAAAAAGAACCUGAAACCGUGUACGUACAAGCAGUGGGAGCACAGAGCAAUCUGUGUGACUGCGUACCUUUUGUAUAAUGGGUCAGCGACUUAUAUUCUGUAGCAAGGUUAACCGAAUAGGGGAGCCGAAGGGAAACCGAGUCUUAACUGGGCGUUAAGUUGCAGGGUAUAGACCCGAAACCCGGUGAUCUAGCCAUGGGCAGGUUGAAGGUUGGGUAACACUAACUGGAGGACCGAACCGACUAAUGUUGAAAAAUUAGCGGAUGACUUGUGGCUGGGGGUGAAAGGCCAAUCAAACCGGGAGAUAGCUGGUUCUCCCCGAAAGCUAUUUAGGUAGCGCCUCGUGAAUUCAUCUCCGGGGGUAGAGCACUGUUUCGGCAAGGGGGUCAUCCCGACUUACCAACCCGAUGCAAACUGCGAAUACCGGAGAAUGUUAUCACGGGAGACACACGGCGGGUGCUAACGUCCGUCGUGAAGAGGGAAACAACCCAGACCGCCAGCUAAGGUCCCAAAGUCAUGGUUAAGUGGGAAACGAUGUGGGAAGGCCCAGACAGCCAGGAUGUUGGCUUAGAAGCAGCCAUCAUUUAAAGAAAGCGUAAUAGCUCACUGGUCGAGUCGGCCUGCGCGGAAGAUGUAACGGGGCUAAACCAUGCACCGAAGCUGCGGCAGCGACGCUUAUGCGUUGUUGGGUAGGGGAGCGUUCUGUAAGCCUGUGAAGGUGUGCUGUGAGG
RNAcentral lists this ribosomal RNA (852 nucleotides) under Escherichia coli. RNAcentral describes it as "partial 23S ribosomal RNA". It matches the Rfam family "Bacterial large subunit ribosomal RNA", at positions 419 to 1268 of the family's 2925-position model. Lineage: Bacteria; Pseudomonadati; Pseudomonadota; Gammaproteobacteria; Enterobacterales; Enterobacteriaceae. The record is from RNAcentral.